ACUCCUACGGGAGGCAGCAGUGGGGAAUAUUGCGCAAUGGGCGAAAGCCUGACGCAGCGACGCCGCGUGAGGGAUGAAGGCCUUCGGGUCGUAAACCUCUUUCAGCAGGGAAGAAGCGCAAGUGACGGUACCUGCAGAAGAAGCACCGGCUAACUACGUGCCAGCAGCCGCGGUAAUACGUAGGGCGCAAGCGUUAUCCGGAA
Molecule: ribosomal RNA, 203 nt
Filed under: uncultured bacterium
Lineage: Bacteria
Description: partial 16S ribosomal RNA
Rfam family: Bacterial small subunit ribosomal RNA
Source: RNAcentral